CUUCACCCAGACAUAGUGGAUUGAUAAUUAUAGUUGACGAUGAUGACUAUGGCGAUUAUGAGUGUGCUUAAAUAUUGCUUUCCACAAAUUCAGUGCAAAAUGUACAAGACUGAAAUAUGUCCAGGGAGCUAGAGCAAUGAUGCAAUACAGUACUGCUGGUACAGAUGCCAAUCAUGUGUGCAGUGUAAUAGUCCAACAACCUCACAUACAGUAUUAAUGAUCAAUACUUGAUGGGUAUUGGUGCACGUCUCUAGUCCAUGGGCUUAAACUGUGGGGUUUGUGUACACUUAGCAAAGGAGUGUGUUUAAAAUACCCACAUGACAAAAUUUAAGUCCCUAUAGAUGUUAGUACAGCAAGUACGUGCAUUAGCUGUGUGGAGUUGGAGUGCUUUACUCUCACACAUUUCAAUGUUAUCCGUGCAUUUAUGUUUCCUCCAAACAUCCCAAAACAGUACUCUGCUCAACCACAGUGUUGAGAUUCGUAGAUCUGUGUUAACAAAGCCGGCAUUACAGUACUAUACAUUAAAAAAAACGUUUCUGCGAAUGCCCGUGAUGGAAUGCCCUUUUCAUAUCUGAAAAUCAUCUGAGCGAGGAAAAAUAUUUACCGCCGGUAAGUACUGGGCGCAAACAUGUCCGACAUGGAAAGCAGCAGGAUGGGCUGGGUGUCCCUGGGGGAGCCGAGUGGGGACCGGUGGAACAGAACAUUCAGCUGCUGCGGAGUUCGUUUGAAAGGGAGAUUUUUUUUUAUAAAAAAAACACACACACAUGGUUUGUUACACCAUGGGUGUUUGCAAAGAGGAUGACUGUUACAGUAAACUUCUGUGGUCGCGACCAUCCGUGAACGUGUGAUAUUUAACAACAAAAACGCAUCAUGGAUGCUUUCCUUCAAAGGAAUCCAACACGAGCCGAAUGCGUGCCCACGCUAUCUCUGUCUCUUUUUGCGUUGCAUCUCAAGUAUGUACGCGCAUGCUGAACUGCGACUGAACGCUGGCUCGCUGUGUCAAAUCAAAGCGUCUCUCCGCUUCUUUCGGUCACCGUGAGCCAAUCACAAGGGCAGCCGUAGUGCAGUGUGGUUAGCACACUGCGCUGUGAAUCGGAUGACCUGAACUGAAUUCGCGGCCACGGGUGAAAUCAAUAUCUGAGUGAAAUAUAAGCCAGCCCUGUCCGACUCCCUUCACCAGCUCGGAAUCUCCAGCGUGGUGACGAAGGCUCAAACAACCAGUGGAUUCACAAAUGGCUCUAAAUUAUUAUCAAUUUUGCGAACCAAAAACAAUUCCAAGGUAUAGUUUUUGUGCCGGAAAAGGUGAUGACAAAUUACGUUUGAGACCGCCAGGGUAUAAUUUGCAUUGCUUCACCCCCUUGGAUGGAUGUUAUUAUAGUCAAUCAUGCUGGAAAGUAGUUAUGCUGGGACACAUUAAGCCAGAGAAUAACAACAUUCAGUGUGAGUUUCUUCAAAUGGAGACUGUCACAUCCCCUGCGGUUCAUUUGACAACAGCUACACUCCAAGACAUGUGUUGGAAUGGCUUGCACGUAUUCAAUCGCAGCCAUCUUUAUCACAAACAUUGUCCCGCAUUGACUGUUGACAACUUUAAUUUCUGUAUUAAUAUUAAUUGACUCUUAUUUCACUCGAAACAUUUGAAUGGAAUUUGUAAGCCCCUUAUGAACUGGCAGCAAUCCGCACAAAGGGCAAAUGUUAUCAUGUAAAAAAACAUUGUGAAAGAACGUUUGCUUAAAGAAUAGUCUUUAAGGCGAUUUGUCCAAGAGGAGUGCUUUGGCAGACAGCAGUUCCAUGAGUGUGGCCAAAUAAAUAGUCGCCCCUAAGGUGCCUUGUGGGCUACGCAAGCAAACCUGCACUGGUGGCAUCUACCAGAUUAUAAUGACAAAAGUAUAUGUAGAAAAGCUAUAAAGUCCACAAGUGGAAUGGAAUGCGAUUGACACUCAUGACUUUAGUUUGUGUUCCAUUCGGUUGUGUCACGUUCGAUCCGUUUUUAUUGACGUUUGUUUGUUUUGAUAGACCAUGGUGACAAUUUUUUAAUGAACUGCAGCAAACAUGAGAAAAGGGCACACCCAAGUGAAUUUCAAUAUGUGCCCUGCAUUGUUGUACACACACAUCUAUAUUGUGUGUCUUCAGCACACACUGAUGGAGCACCGAAAACUGGACAAGGCACGGAGUUGUAACCAACGAUCUCAAAAGUCAUUGGUUGUGCAGUGAGUGAGCUACCCUCUUACAGUUUGGCCCCAGGCGUAAGAAGGGGAUAAAAGCAUGAGCUCACCAUUUUUUACGCAGUGCCAAGCCCUGAAAACCUGUCUGCCUGGCUCCCAGCGUUGAGCUAUUAAACUCAUUACACCCUUACAGAGAGUAAGCUGUAAAUCCACUGCUAUUGUCUCGUGUGCUAUGAUUCCGGAUUUUUGGGGACAAGCCUAAAGUUUUGCACCAACCUAAGUCUCUGAACCGUGGCGUACCAAUGGGCAAUGCCUAGAGCAAAAGGAGCUGAAAAAGGCUUCCAGCACGUGGAGAAAAGCGUCGGACAUUAUGCCGAACAACACGCGGUACAAUCCGACAAACACUCAUCGGAGACGCAUACAGAACCCAAGACGAACAUGCCUGGUACAUAUAUGCACGGAAACAAGAAGACACUUGUCAUGGGAGGCAAAAACAAACAUAACACUUAACACAAUCAUCAAGCAAUCGGCACGGAUGGGGGCCAUCAUAUUCACGAUCUUUAAGGCACAACUUCCACGUUCCGAGGACGAGAGAAGACGGGAGAAGCGGUGGGACCAAAUAAUGCACGCGAAGCAAAUUAGACAACGCGCAUUGUUUGACUGACUUUGAAAAGUCCACACCCCGCAAGACAUCUGGUGACGUGAGUGACUCAGCUCGGUAUGUGUAAUCCCCACUGUCGAUUAAGCACGCGUUAUCUCUCUAGGUAUGUGCACAAUACUGUAUAGCUCGUCAACAACAGCUUCCCCUUCCCCAUUGUCUCUCUCUCUCUCGCUCUGUGUGUGCGUGAAUGUGUGUAUUUAUUAAUCUACGAGACACCGUGUUUGUAAUUUGCCUGAGUCACCGUUUGCCCGGUAAUGCCGGGUACGUUAUUAAUAGAGGUGUGGUGGAGUGCGUGAAGUCAAGAGUCCCGUGUUUUGGCGGACGGGUACACAUUGAGUAAUGUUAUGGGUUUGAUGGAAGUGAAAUUCGCGGUAUGAGAGGUGUAAUCAUAAAAGUGUAAGCAAGAAAGAGUGAAGAGACAUAAUAAUAUGGAUACGUGCUGUUUAAGUGGCUCGAAAAGUACGCUGCCACCAACCCGUAAUGUAUCCCAAUGGUGCUGCGGAUACAUUGUUUCGUAAAAACAUAAAACGAAGUAUCCAUUCAGAACUGUUACAGCGCAUGGAGACAGUUUUCACAUGGCUUCUUCUGAGACCACUUCAACUGACCUUUUAUCCACAUACUAGGAUGCGUAUUUCCCCAAUUGCCCUGCUGCAGAGAGACGUUUUUUCACGUCGAAAUUUAUGCACAAACCAAUAUUAAAUGCUACGUGUGUUUUUUUUUAAUGUACAUUAGUUGUUUGUGACCAGGCCAUGACCAUUAACUCACUAUACCAUGGUCGGUUUGCUUGGUUUAAUUAUGCGUGGCUGAAUUCCUUGUUAAAUCCCAGGUCAUCAGCGCUAGCAGUCCAGCUCUCUCUGCCUCUUGAGCCAACAUGUCCCCGUCAUCACAGUCGCUCCACUUUUGACCUGCCUCCUUUCUGCUGUCUCUGCAUGCAUCCUCAUACAACCCGACAUGUCCCAAAAAAAAAAGACUCAUGGUGUCUUAUUUGCUAUACCCUUACCCUAGUCCCGGUGCUGUCUGCUGUGUGUUACGCACCCCUGCUUAGAAAGUGUAUACCUGUUCACGUGUGGUAAUAAUAUACGGCGGUUGUCAAUCCACUGCUGGAUGAAGGACUUGUACUCUGUCGAUAAGCUACAAUAACAUACUUGUCA
Petromyzon marinus (sea lamprey) is the source of this 3974-nucleotide long non-coding RNA. RefSeq lists it as uncharacterized. NCBI's taxonomy places the organism in Eukaryota, Metazoa, Chordata, Hyperoartia, Petromyzontiformes, Petromyzontidae. The record is from RefSeq and is a predicted model, not a curated record.